UUCAAGACUUGAAGCGUCAAAUUGGCAGAAGCAGAAUUUACAUACUACCCAAUUCACACGUAUCUCUUUAUAGACAGGCUACAGCAUCCCUGAGUCAGAGCAGUGAAGGAAGAUCCAGUGUUAUUUCAGCAGCUGAGACGAGAAACAGUCCAGUACUUCCACAGCUGUGCCAGGAUGAAAAUAAUGGCCACAUAUAUGUAAAUGCUGGCACUCCUGAGGUGUUCUACCGAACUGAUCAGCCAAUUCAAGAUGUGAUAACUACCC
Pygocentrus nattereri (red-bellied piranha) is the source of this 264-nucleotide long non-coding RNA. RefSeq lists it as uncharacterized. NCBI's taxonomy places the organism in Eukaryota, Metazoa, Chordata, Actinopteri, Characiformes, Serrasalmidae. The record is from RefSeq and is a predicted model, not a curated record. The transcript is spliced from 4 exons.